GAUGAACGCUGGCGGCGUGCCUAAUACAUGCAAGUCGAGCGAAUGGAUUAAGAGCUUGCUCUUAUGAAGUUAGCGGCGGACGGGUGAGUAACACGUGGGUAACCUGCCCAUAAGACUGGGAUAACUCCGGGAAACCGGGGCUAAUACCGGAUAACAUUUUGAACCGCAUGGUUCGAAAUUGAAAGGCGGCUUCGGCUGUCACUUAUGGAUGGACCCGAGUCGCAUUAGCUAGUUGGUGAGGUAACGGCUCACCAAGGCAACGAUGCGUAGCCGACGUGAGAGGGUGAUCGGCCAGACUGGGACUGAGACACGGCCCAGACUCCUACGGGAGGCAGCAGUAGGGAAUCUUCCACAAUGGACGAAAGUCUGACGGAGCAACGCCGCGUGAGUGAUGAAGGCUUUCGGGUCGUAAAACUCUGUUGUUAGGGAAGAACAAGUGCUAGUUGAAUAAGCUGGCACCUUGACGGUACCUAACCAGAAAGCCACGGCUAACUACGUGCCAGCCGCCGCCGUAA
RNAcentral lists this ribosomal RNA (515 nucleotides) under uncultured bacterium. Its description in RNAcentral is "partial 16S ribosomal RNA". It matches the Rfam family "Bacterial small subunit ribosomal RNA", at positions 28 to 523 of the family's 1533-position model. The record is from RNAcentral.